This 753-nucleotide small RNA is filed under the name Pongo abelii (Sumatran orangutan). RNAcentral's name for it is "unitary pseudogene". The record is from RNAcentral. Lineage: Eukaryota; Metazoa; Chordata; Mammalia; Primates; Hominidae.
UUUUCCCCAUAAGAUGAAUAAAUAUAACAAACUUUCCAGUUUCAUAGCCAUAAGCAAUGCUGCUUUCUCUGAAGUUGGCAUUGGGAUCUCUGCCAAUGCCAUGCUCCUUCUCUUCCACGUCCUCAUGUGCCUUCUCAAGCACAGGACCAAGCCCACUGACCUGAUCGUUGGUCAUGUGGCUCUAAUCCAUAUCAUAUUGCUGCUACCCACAGGGUUCAUAGCUACAGAUAUUUUCGGGUCUCAGGAUUCAGGGGAUGACAUCAAACAUAAGUCAGUUAUCUACAGGUACAGGUUGAUGAGAGGCCUCUCCAUUUCCACCAACUGCCUGCUGAGUGUCCUCCCGGCCAUCACCUGCAGCCCCAGAAGCUCCUGUUUGGCAAUGUUCAAAGAUUCUCACAUCACGAACCACGUUGCUUUCUCUUCUUGUGGUUCUUCCACAUAUCCAUUAGGGAAAGCUUCUUAGUCUCCACUCUUCCGAUCAAAAAUGUUGCCUCAAAUAGACUUACAUUUGUCACUCAAUCCUGCUCUGCUGGGCCCCUGAGUUGCUUCCUUGGGCAGACAAUUUUCACACUGAUGACAUUUUAGGAUGUCUCCCUUGCAGGGCUCAUGGCCCUCUCCAGUGGAUACAUGGUGAUUCUCUUGUCCAGGCAUAACAGGCAGUCCCAGCAUUUUCACAGCACCAACCUUUCUCCAAAAGCACCCCCAGAAAAAAUGGCCACACAGACCAUUCUUCUGCUCAUGAGUUGCUUUGUG